UCUUGCUUCUUGUCCCUCACCCUGCUCAUUUGCCCUCUGGUCUGUGCAUGGACCUCCUGGCUUGGUGACAGCCUCUGGAAUGUGUCUGAUCCUGACCUAUGGGGUCACCACCACAUUGGCCUUGGAGUUGUGUCAGCCCCUUGAGCUUGUCUAAUAGGAGCCUGUGGUUGAAGGUGCUCUGCUGUCCUCAUCAGCUAUUGUGGGACUGGCUCUGGCCUCAGCUCCUGCCUCCCUGCCCUGCUGGAAGAAGACAUGGAUUAGUCAAGCCCCUCUGUUGUAGCUGGCCGAAAUUCUUCAGUUCUAAGAAGGGUUCUGGUUUUUCUCUUCCACACAAAUGUGAAGUUUCACCUGAAAAUUAAGAGCUUUGGGGGAGCUCGGAGCAGUGUUUGGAAGGGCACGGCUUCCUCCACACUCACAUGGUUGCUAGAUUGGAGCUGGUUGGAUACUUCCUCUAACCUGAGACAGGACUAAGAAAUAUCUGACUUGUGAGUUCGUGUGAUUUAAUCAGUACUAACCUGAAUACCCCGUCUUCCCCAAGAUCUGGUUUUACAGGGAUUUUCCUUCCUGGACCAUGUACCCCAAAAAUCCCAGGUGUCCUCUCUGGAGGCUGAAACUGGGUCCUGAGCUGGUCUUGCUGAAUCUAAUUCCUUUAUAGCUUUAAAAAGGCUCAGAAAUGCACCUGAGAUGCUGCUGCUGAUGGGGAAGGGGUUAAUUUUGCCCUGUUUUUUCUUAGUUUACUCUUAAUUUUCUCUUUGCUCCUCAGAGGAAUGUGGGCUCAGUUUACAAGGAGUUAGGACCAGGCUAGGUUCUCUUUUUAGACAAAAGCCUGAAAUUCCAUGGAAGAAUUUUACCCCUUUCGUCUGCUUUAUCUGCCAUUAAAAGGAGAGGCUGAGUUUCAGCAGCAGGUCUAUUGCAGAAGUAGAAACAAGCUCUAAAGCUGGACUCUGGAUCCUGAUUUCCUCCAAAGCCUGUGCUGAAAUUCAGACAUAGGCUGGCAUAACGAGUGCUGCUUAGAAAUAAUGCCAUGCAGAGAUUUCUGGGCUAAAGUUUGGUGUUAAUCUCGUGAAGUGCUGUCUGUGGGGUGUUGUUUCAGGGGUCAUUCAGCAGCGUCUCGCCACAGAGAAGAGCACUAUUGAACUCCUUGGAAAAGCUAUGAAAUUUCAUACACUGGUUGCAACCCCAGGAGACUAAUCCAGCCCCAAACACUAUCACUCUUAGAUUUGUGUUUCACUCAAGAAGUCAUGAAGCAAUCUAUUUUGCCAGGGGAAAAGGGAAAAAAAAUAGAAAAUCAUUAUUUUAUCAUCCUGAGUACUUUCCAUGUAUCACAAAUGCCUGAGAUCUUUGAGAAAUCUCUCAGUUGUGCAGAAAAGCAUUACACUGGCUGGGAACUCAGCCUUUCUUUGGGUAUUUCUGCUUGUCAUUUUUACUUACAUACAAAUAUUAAUGAAGACCUAAAUGUGCCCUUUUCCUAUUGCCCUUUAUGUGUUUGAUAAAGAUGGCUCAUAAUCCUACAGCUGUCUUUUCCCCACUUUAAAAGGUUCUGGCUUCUUAUUGCUGUCAGGAUAAUGCUGCAUCAUUCCACCUAACCACCAAUAAAUAGAAAUGCAGAGCCAUGACUUCUAUUUGAAAGCAUGCAGGCUCCUUUGUACUGUUUCUGUAUAUAUAAAUCUAUCUUCCAACUUGUAGCAGUAGUACAACAUCUGAAUUAAAUCAUGACUUAUUCUUUCUAUUAAAGCUGUGUUGUCCUUGCCAUUAUUCCCUUUUCCAGUAAACUAAUACAAUGAAAAAUUGAUUCUAGCUGUA
Pezoporus flaviventris is the source of this 1803-nucleotide long non-coding RNA. RefSeq lists it as uncharacterized. The record is from RefSeq and is a predicted model, not a curated record. NCBI's taxonomy places the organism in Eukaryota, Metazoa, Chordata, Aves, Psittaciformes, Psittacidae. The transcript is spliced from 3 exons.